This 253-nucleotide ribosomal RNA is filed under the name uncultured bacterium. RNAcentral's name for it is "partial 16S ribosomal RNA". It matches the Rfam family "Bacterial small subunit ribosomal RNA", at positions 524 to 776 of the family's 1533-position model. The record is from RNAcentral.
UACGUAGGUGGCAAGCGUUGUCCGGAAUUAUUGGGCGUAAAGCGCGCGCAGGCGGUCCUUUAAGUCUGAUGUGAAAGCCCACGGCUCAACCGUGGAAGGUCAUUGGAAACUGGGGGACUUGAGUGCAGAAGAGGAAAGCGGAAUUCCAAGUGUAGCGGUGAAAUGCGUAGAGAUUUGGAGGAACACCAGUGGCGAAGGCGGCUUUCUGGUCUGUAACUGACGCUGAGGCGCGAAAGCGUGGGGAGCAAACAGG